This 253-nucleotide ribosomal RNA is filed under the name uncultured bacterium. Its description in RNAcentral is "partial 16S ribosomal RNA". It matches the Rfam family "Bacterial small subunit ribosomal RNA", at positions 524 to 776 of the family's 1533-position model. The record is from RNAcentral.
UACGAAGGGGGCUAGCGUUGCUCGGAAUCACUGGGCGUAAAGCGCACGUAGGCGGUUCUUUAAGUCAGGGGUGAAAUCCUGGAGCUCAACUCCAGAACUGCCUUUGAUACUGGGGAUCUCGAGUCCGGGAGAGGUGAGUGGAACUCCGAGUGUAGAGGUGGAAUUCGUAGAUAUUCGGAAGAACACCAGUGGCGAAGGCGGCUCACUGGCCCGGUACUGACGCUGAGGUGCGAAAGCCAGGGGAGCAAACGGG